GACGAACGCUGGCGGCGUGCUUAACACAUGCAAGUCGAACGGAAAGGCCCUGCUUUUGUGGGGUGCUCGAGUGGCGAACGGGUGAGUAACACGUGAGUAACCUGCCCUUGACUUUGGGAUAACUUCAGGAAACUGGGGCUAAUACCGGAUAGGAGCUCCUGCUGCAUGGUGGGGGUUGGAAAGUUUCGGCGGUUGGGGAUGGACUCGCGGCUUAUCAGCUUGUUGGUGGGGUAGUGGCUUACCAAGGCUUUGACGGGUAGCCGGCCUGAGAGGGUGACCGGCCAAAUUGGGACUGAGAUACGGCCCAGACUCCUACGGGAGGCAGCAGUGGGGAAUAUUGCACAAUGGGCGGAAGCCUGAUGCAGCAACGCCGCGUGCGGGAUGACGGCCUUCGGGUUGUAAACCGCUUUGGCCUGUGACGAAGCGUGAGUGACGGUAAUGGGUAAAGAAGCACCGGCUAACUACGUG
This 468-nucleotide ribosomal RNA is filed under the name uncultured bacterium. Its description in RNAcentral is "partial 16S ribosomal RNA". It matches the Rfam family "Bacterial small subunit ribosomal RNA", at positions 28 to 507 of the family's 1533-position model. The record is from RNAcentral.